AGUGAACGCUGGCGGUAGGCCUAACACAUGCAAGUCGAACGGCAGCACAGUAAGAGCUUGCUCUUACGGGUGGCGAGUGGCGGACGGGUGAGGAAUACAUCGGAAUCUACUUUUUCGUGGGGGAUAACGUAGGGAAACUUACGCUAAUACCGCAUACGACCUACGGGUGAAAGCAGGGGAUCUUCGGACCUUGCGCGAUUGAAUGAGCCGAUGUCGGAUUAGCUAGUUGGCGGGGUAAAGGCCCACCAAGGCGACGACCCGUAGCUGGUCUGAGAGGAUGAUCAGCCACACUGGAACUGAGACACGGUCCAGACUCCUACGGGAGGCAGCAGUGGGGAAUAUUGGACAAUGGGCGCAAGCCUGACCCAGCCAUACCGCGUGGGUGAAGAAGGCCUUCGGGUUGUAAAGCCCUUUUGUUGGGAAAGAAAAGCAGCAGGUUAAUACCCCGCUGUUCUGACGGUACCCAAAGAAUAAGCACCGGCUAACUUC
Molecule: ribosomal RNA, 489 nt
Filed under: uncultured bacterium
Lineage: Bacteria
Description: partial 16S ribosomal RNA
Rfam family: Bacterial small subunit ribosomal RNA
Source: RNAcentral